This 253-nucleotide ribosomal RNA is filed under the name uncultured bacterium. RNAcentral describes it as "partial 16S ribosomal RNA". It matches the Rfam family "Bacterial small subunit ribosomal RNA", at positions 524 to 776 of the family's 1533-position model. The record is from RNAcentral.
UACGAAGGGGGCGAGCGUUGUUCGGAAUUACUGGGCGUAAAGCGUGCGCAGGCGGCUUCGCAAGUCAGACGUGAAAUCCCCGGGCUUAACCUGGGAAUGGCGUUUGAAACUACGGAGCUGGAGUGUGGCAGAGGGAGGUAGAAUUCCACGUGUAGCGGUGAAAUGCGUAGAUAUGUGGAGGAAUACCGAUGGCGAAGGCAGCCUCCUGGGCCAACACUGACGCUCAUGCACGAAAGCGUGGGGAGCAAACAGG